CCGGAAUGCUGACGCGGAGGGAUCAUUACAGAGCUGCAAAACUCCCUAAACCAUCGUGAACGCUACCUAAACCGUUGCUUCGGCGGGCGGCGCCCUCGCGCGCCCCCCCUGGGGCCCGCACCGCGGGCGCCCGCCGGAGGUACACCAAACUCUUGAUAUGUUAUGGCCACUCUGAGUCUCCUGUACUGAAUAAGUCAAAACUUUCAACAACGGAUCUCUUGGUUCUGGCAUCGAUGAAGAACGCAGCGAAAUGCGAUAAGUAAUGUGAAUUGCAGAAUUCAGUGAAUCAUCGAAUCUUUGAACGCACAUUGCGCCCGCCAGCAUCCUGGCGGGCAUGCCUGUUCGAGCGUCAUUUCAACCCAUCAAGCCCACGGCUUGUGUUGGGGACCUGCGGCUGCCCGCAGGCCCUGAAAACCAGUGGCGGGCUCGCUAGUCACACCGGGCGUAGUAGCAUACGACCUCGCUCAGGGCGUGCUGCGGGUUCCAGCCGUAAAACGACCUUCACAACCCAAGGUUGACCUCGGAUCAGGUAGGAGGACCCGCUGAACUUAAGCAUAUCAAUAAGCGGAGGAA
Molecule: ribosomal RNA, 573 nt
Filed under: Thermothelomyces thermophilus
Lineage: Eukaryota; Fungi; Ascomycota; Sordariomycetes; Sordariales; Chaetomiaceae
Description: eukaryotic LSU rRNA
Rfam family: 5.8S ribosomal RNA (bases 199-352)
Source: RNAcentral